UACGUAGGGGCCGAGCGUUGUCCGGAAUUAUUGGGCGUAAAGCGCGCGCAGGCGGCCUCGCGCGCCCGACGUGAAAGCCCCCGGCUUAACCGGGGAGGGUCGUUGGGGACGGCGGGGCUUGAGGGCGGGAGAGGGUGGUGGAAUUCCAGGUGUAGCGGUGAAAUGCGUAGAUAUCUGGAGGAAUACCGGUGGCGAAGGCGGCAUCCUGGACCGACAUUGACGCUGAGGAGCGAAAGCUAGGGGAGCAAACGGG
Molecule: ribosomal RNA, 253 nt
Filed under: uncultured bacterium
Lineage: Bacteria
Description: partial 16S ribosomal RNA
Rfam family: Bacterial small subunit ribosomal RNA
Source: RNAcentral